This is a long non-coding RNA of Lucilia sericata (common green bottle fly), 399 nucleotides long. RefSeq lists it as uncharacterized. Lineage: Eukaryota; Metazoa; Arthropoda; Insecta; Diptera; Calliphoridae. The transcript has 2 exons. The record is from RefSeq and is a predicted model, not a curated record.
UUCAUUUUUAACCCAAAGAAAAUUUUCAGUUCAAAACGAAAACUACGAGGAAAAAGAUCAAAUAAAAAGUGGCUUUGGCAAGAACGCUGUGAAAAAAACGAGUUUAGUGAAUAAAACAAACAAUUAUAGCCGCGGCCGAUAAAAUUAAAGUGUAAUUAACAAAUAUUGUUGGAAAAUAAACAAAAAACUUUUAAAUUAAAUGUAUUAAUAGUUAACACUGCCAUUAUUUUAGAAAAUCUCUUAUUGAGAUUAAAAACAAAAAAAAAAAAAGAACAACAACCAAAAGUUAUAAUAUUUUAUUAAUAGAACUGGAACUGACAACAUGUUGAAAUUUAUACGUGGCAAAGGACAACAACCUUCGGCUGAAAGGCAACGUUUACAAAAGGAAUUGUUUGCAUA